CCGACGCAGCACAAUAGUAACUCAAGAACGCCUCCAGCGCCCCGGUGCCCAAAAUGUAUAAGAAAUCCGCUCCCCGGCGCUGAGAUGACCUCAAGACUUUGUCCAUUAGUGCCCCGAUGCCUAAUUCCUACCACACCCCAGCGCCCCGGCGCUAGGGGUCCUUGUCAGCUACUGCCCUAUAGCACCCAGGCGCUCCCUUCUAGUUAAAACCCAGCGCCCUGGCGCUGGGGUCAGGUUUAGAAUCCUAUUCGGUUUAAAAAUCUGCAUUGGUCAAACUUCUUAUUCCUUUUAAUUGCUUCCCACGUUUGUAUCACUUGCACCCUUUCCGUUCCCCUUUGUGUAACUGCCCUUCCCCUGCACGUUAAAUAUCCUACAUACUUUUGGAGAUAAGGGUAUUUUGCUUCAAUUGGGUUCUCUUUCUACUUGAUUUCAUUCUCUCCUUCUGUAUAUAAGGUAUGUAUUAUACUUCCUCUGAUCUUAUGCUACUCCCUCUUGCAUGCGUAUGAGUCACUUGAGAUUGGCCUGUCACGCAUAUGUUUUAUUUAAUGGUGAUUGAUAUGCUUGGGGUUUGGAUUGCCAUGAUCAUAUUUGUGCUCAAAGAGAAUUAUAAACUACCCACAAGGUGUUCGAGAUAUUGCCUAUAUUAAUUUUCUUUGCUAAUUUUACCCAACGACAUACCCACCACUGAAUUUAAUUGCAUAAUUUUCAUCCCAAUAACACAGGCAUACCGUUAGACUGGUAUAUCAUUAGAGUGUCGGCUAAAAUGUGUUGGUGCAUACCUGUCUUCAUAUUUAUGAUGGCUAUUGUUCUAGCGGAUUUGUACAUGCAUUGACUAAUUGGUCUUGAACGAUAGAAAUUUUGGCCUACAUGUAAUGACAAUGGUUUUCUUCACUAUCAAUGUACUUAGUGUAUGUUAGGUGCUUGCCAUAUAGUUUGUUUGUCAAUGUCACAUCUUUUAGGAGUACCCUUAUACUUCAUUAGACAAUUAUGCUAUUUAAAUAUGCUUUGGCCAACUUAGACUAAUCGGUGGAAAAUUUGGUACUUUAAUGCUUUGGUGUGCCUAACCACACCCCCAAACCCUUUUACACAUAGCUAUCUUACUUAGAAGUUUAGGGGUCGUGCUAUGGUUACGUAUCUCCCUGUCAUAUUUGUAAAACAAAAUUGUAAUAAGUGUAUAAGUGUUUUUCAUUAUAGAAUAUUCUAGAUGGCCUCGAAGCGUCAACGAGGAGAAGGUUCUGGGUCCGCCUCGGUUCCCCCAAAAUUUGACAACCAACAGUUUGUGAGUGCUGCCGCCCAAGAACGCUACAACCGCAUGGCCACCCGCUCUCUCAUCCCCAAACGCGGUUUAAGGCCAGAUCAAUCCAAGGAUGGGGAUAUAGUGGUCAUGAUUGCUGAGAGGAAUCAGUUCACACUCACUGAACAACCCGACCCGGCAGUGAUUGCAGUCGUUAAAGAGUUCUACGCCAAUAUUUCAGAGCAGUUCCACUAUGGAGUGUAUGUGAGAGGAAAGACAGCUGAAUUUGGUAAGGAGGACAUCAACGAGUGCUACCAACUACCUUUGGAGGGUCAACGCAAUGAAUAUGCUAGCUUUGUGAGCCAUGGACCAGACUAUGAAGUGAUCAUCCAUGAAUUAUGUCAACCGGGAAUAACUUGGAUAAUGUAUGAAUGUGGCAGUAUCACCUUUCCCCAUUUGCGCCUCAGUCUUUAUGGGACGGCUUGGUACGCCUUCAUAGGCGCCAAAUUAAUGCCAUGCACACAUGUUAGCCAUGUCACCAAGGAAAGGGCUGUGUUGCAGUAUUCAAUAAUUCAAGGCUUGAAGAUGGAUGUGGGACUAAUUAUUCAGCAGUCCAUUCUACGAGCUGCCCGAGGAGGUACCACGAGAGGGUUACCCCAUCCUUCUCUUAUUUGUGCUUUAUGUUCUAAGUUUGGGGUCAAUUGGAAGUCGGAUGAAAUGAUUCAGCCCCCAAUGCCGGUUUUAGACCAUAAGAUGAUAAUCAGGUGCCGGGUGUGGACUGGUGGUGCAAAUCACCCACGUGGAUUGGUCUUUAUAAUUCCAUAAACUGCAGCUCCACAGGCUCCACAGGCUCCUGCUCCACCCACUUAUGGUUCCUCCUUUGCGACUCAGCGUGGUGUUGUUCCCGAUACGGUUCAGCGCGAAAUUGACGGUUGGUUCUACAAUCUCGAAGCCUAAAAUGUCCGCCUGUCUGAACGCUAAGAUGUGAUCUACAAGUUUAUAGUUGACUACUUCACCGCCCAGACUGCUAUGUAUGCUCAGUUGUACCCUGGAGUUGAUCUUAGCCAUUUCUCUACUGUUCCUGUUCUGCCUGUGUUUCCCCCUUCUGAUCAAGAGAUGAGCGAGGAUGACGAUGAUGAUGAUGAUGCGCCCGAGGAAUAAGCUCGUUAGGGAAGUCCUCUAUUUUAAAGUGCUAUAUUUAUCGCAUGAGGACAUUGCUCAUUAUAAGUUUUGGGGGUAGCUUAGUUUUAUUUGCAUUUUUAGGUGGUAUGUUUUUGUUAGUUUGUGGAAAUUAGGUUGUGAGUAUGUUUUAGUUUGUUUGUUAAACUUGAUGUUAACUUUUUCGUUAAGUGUUGCAUUUAGGAUUUCACAUAAUUCCAGCUGUUUAAUAGUUUAAGUAUAUUCGGGGCCAAUGAUGAAACUGAAAUUUAAUAAACAAGUCUAUUAAGGAUUGUUAAGCCUGUGAUGUGAUUUCUUGACAUGAUUUAAAUCUUUAUCUGUUUGAAACUGAUAUUAUCAUGAUAACACAUGUUAAGAAACGACCAUGCUGACUGAUUAAGUCUAAAUGGAUAGAUAAUGGAUUUCUAAAGGAUAAAUGCUAGUUGAAUGAAAGAAUAAUAAGAAUAGGUAGUGAUGGUUGAAGUUAGGCAUGAAUUUAAGUUUGGGGGAAAUAUUUGGGAUAUAUAAGCUUGUUUUUUUUAAAAAAACAAAUAAAAAAAAUCGUGGCUAGUCUUGUUUCAGGGCCUUUGUUACUUGAGUAAAUAAGCCCGAGGGAGUGUCUCUACACUUAGUGCCUUAAGGUCUUAUAUGGUCUGAGAGUCGUUGGUCGAAAGCCCGCUAAGGGGUAGCACUGUUAGUCUAAUGGAAUGAGACAUUGCACAGUCACGGGAAAUGAAAAAAAAAUAUAUAAUAAUAAUGAAUAAAACGGGAAAAAGUACAAAAGUCCUUGUUAAAAAAAAUAUAAUAAAAUAAAAUAAAAAUAAAGCAUAAGUAUCCCAUCUUGACCCCUGGACUUUGAUAAGUGUGUGAUUUUAGUUGGAUCUAGUUUGUUUUUGGAGUUCUCGAGUUUAUACUGUGUGAUGCCUUCCAAGAAAUCUAUUAUUUUCAUCAGUUAGCAUGGUUGUUAAGCAAACACACACGAUAUCAGUAAUAACAGGUUUAGAUUUGAUGAUUGUUGGAAUAUUAUUGAUCUGUCUUGAUAUGAUGUACUGGCAUGUUAUUGUGAUUUUUUGGAGGCUUGAUGAGUAUACUUUGUUCUGUUUGAUCGCUGGAAUCGUAAACAUGUAGUUAGUAUAUUUGCAUUUGCAUGGUAUAUCUAAUUUUCUUUUAUUGCAUUAUGUUUUGUUACUCGAGGACAAGCAACGGUUUAAGUUUGGGGGUAUUUGAUGAAUGGGAAAUAUACCCAUGAAUUGGAUACAUUCAGGCUUAAAUUAUUGUUGUUCUCAAGUCUUUUAGAAGAAUUUUUACUGUGUUUCAUAUUUAUUUUGCAGAUUGAGGUGGAGUAGGGACAAAUUGGGGAUUUUAGCAUACGUGUGGCAAAAUCGUAAAUUCUUUGAACUACAGCGCUGGGGCGCUACUCCUAACACUAAUCUCAGCGCCGGGGCACUGAGGUCCGAAUUUUGUUGACCGAGGUGCGUGCAUGGGGCAAGAUGUUGACUUGGAUUAGGAUUGGGGAAAGAUGGAAAAGAGUAUUUAAAGAACAAUUAGCUGAAAUUAAAGGACUAAUCAAUCAUAGUUGGAGAUUAAUCAAUUUUUCAUCAGAGAAUUGUGGAAAAGAAUUCCAAUUGAAGAUUGAAGCGUGGAUGAUUUUUUUUUAGAGUUUCUUCUUCUUCUUAUUUUUAAUUGUGUAAUUCUUG
RNAcentral lists this long non-coding RNA (4089 nucleotides) under Panax ginseng (ginseng). Its description in RNAcentral is "long non-coding RNA (PGIN_LNC013533)". The record is from RNAcentral. Lineage: Eukaryota; Viridiplantae; Streptophyta; Magnoliopsida; Apiales; Araliaceae.